This 73-nucleotide transfer RNA is filed under the name Methanobacteriota archaeon. Its description in RNAcentral is "Euryarchaeota archaeon (hot springs metagenome) tRNA-Glu". It matches the Rfam family "tRNA". From Rfam's summary of the family: Transfer RNA (tRNA) molecules are approximately 80 nucleotides in length. Lineage: Archaea; Methanobacteriati; Methanobacteriota. The record is from RNAcentral.
GCUCCCGUAGUGUAGUGGUCAAUCAUAGGAGCCUCUCGAGCUCUUGACGCGGGUUCAAAUCCCGCCGGGAGCA